RNAcentral lists this ribosomal RNA (313 nucleotides) under Luminiphilus sp. RNAcentral's name for it is "partial 23S ribosomal RNA". It matches the Rfam family "Bacterial large subunit ribosomal RNA", at positions 2617 to 2925 of the family's 2925-position model. Lineage: Bacteria; Pseudomonadati; Pseudomonadota; Gammaproteobacteria; Cellvibrionales; Halieaceae. The record is from RNAcentral.
CGUCGUGAGACAGUUCGGUCCCUAUCUGCCGUGGGCGUUGGAGAAUUGAGGGAAGCUGCUCCUAGUACGAGAGGACCGGAGUGGACGAACCUCUGGUGUUCCGGUUGUGUCGCCAGACGCAUUGCCGGGUAGCUACGUUCGGACGGGAUAACCGCUGAAAGCAUCUAAGCGGGAAGCCCCUCCCAAGAAUAGUUCUCCCUGUCCCUUGAGGACUCUGAAGAGCCGUCCAAGACUAGGACGUUGAUAGGCUGGGUGUGGAAGCGCUGUAAAGCGUUGAGCUAACCAGUACUAAUUGCUCGUGAGGCUUGACCAU